GCCUACGGGAGGCAGCAGUGAGGAAUAUUGGUCAAUGGGCGCGAGCCUGAACCAGCCAAGUCGCGUGAGGGAAGACGGUCCUAUGGAUUGUAAACCUCUUUUGUCGGGGAGCAAAAGACGCCACGCGUGGCGUUCCGAGAGUACCCGAAGAAAAAGCAUCGGCUAACUCCGUGCCAGCAGCCGCGGUAAUACGGAGGAUGCGAGCGUUAUCCGGAUUUAUUGGGUUUAAAGGGUGCGUAGGCGGGACGGUAAGUCAGCGGUAAAAAUGCGGAGCUCAACUCCGUCGGGCCGUUGAAACUGUCGGU
RNAcentral lists this ribosomal RNA (305 nucleotides) under uncultured bacterium. RNAcentral describes it as "bacterial SSU rRNA". It matches the Rfam family "Bacterial small subunit ribosomal RNA", at positions 337 to 640 of the family's 1533-position model. The record is from RNAcentral.